ACCCAGCUGACGUGUCUCAAAUAGGACGAAACACGAGUCUUGGAU
RNAcentral lists this non-coding RNA (45 nucleotides) under Schistosoma mansoni. The record is from RNAcentral. Lineage: Eukaryota; Metazoa; Platyhelminthes; Trematoda; Strigeidida; Schistosomatidae.